UUUAUUCUCUCUCCCACUCUCUCCCUGCACCUAUUUUCUCUCCAUUAUUCCCUAAUUUUGUUCUUCUUCCAUCCUCUUAACGGUCUGAAAUUCAUCUUCUUUCGUGUGCUCUUACUGAAUCGUCCAUUAUUAGGACCAAGAAAACCAGAGCAUCUGAACCGCGCAAUUUCUCUCUCUGUUCUUGUGGAUGACCGAAGAUAACUAGAUAAGUUCAUCCGUCACAUAUCUGAACAUGCUGGAACAAAUCAAAGUAUAAAAUGUGUUGGGGAUUUGAAUUAUGAAGAAAUUGAAGAAACAAGUAUGUUCCAUUUAUAUAUUAUAUAUAUUUCAGAUUUUCCUUCAAAUUUCCGUCUUGUUAAACUUGUAUUCAUAUAUUUAUACCCUUUGUUUUGUAAUUUUUUGAACACUUUCAUAUAAGCCAAGUAUAUCAUUUCAUUCUUGCAGGGUUCAUUUCAUCGUGUUUACCGCCAAAGCUCUCAUUGAAGCAGACUGCAUUCUCUGUUUCACAAUGCAAUUAGAAUAUAAUUUGGUGUACUAUUUUGUUAUGAACAAUCUGAUUUUGGAUCUGUAGAUGGCUAAUGUACUUUUCAGUUUUCAUUUGUCAUGUAUUGUAUUGAAACUCAUCCCAAAAUAGCCAAGGACUGCAUUCCAUUUUAGUUGGACAAAUUGCACCCAUUCAAUGACUAGAACUGAAAGUGAUUUCCCAUUUC
Molecule: long non-coding RNA, 710 nt
Filed under: Actinidia chinensis (golden kiwifruit)
Lineage: Eukaryota; Viridiplantae; Streptophyta; Magnoliopsida; Ericales; Actinidiaceae
Description: long non-coding RNA (ACHI_LNC006143)
Source: RNAcentral